UACGUAGGGUGCAAGCGUUAAUCGGAAUUACUGGGCGUAAAGCGUGCGCAGGCGGUUGUGUAAGACAGAUGUGAAAUCCCCGGGCUUAACCUGGGAACUGCAUUUGUGACUGCACAGCUGGAGUGCGGCAGAGGGGGAUGGAAUUCCGCGUGUAGCAGUGAAAUGCGUAGAGAUGUGGAGGAACACCGAUGGCGAAGGCAGCCCCCUGGGCCGACACUGACGCUCAGGCACGAAAGCGUGGGGAGCAAACAGG
RNAcentral lists this ribosomal RNA (253 nucleotides) under uncultured bacterium. RNAcentral describes it as "partial 16S ribosomal RNA". It matches the Rfam family "Bacterial small subunit ribosomal RNA", at positions 524 to 776 of the family's 1533-position model. The record is from RNAcentral.